UUAAAUUCAGGGGGUCUUCCCACUUCAUCUGAGGUCUAAUUCAUAGGUUGAACAGCCCGAAGGUUAUUCAGUUGUUUCUUUUUGCUGCGUAACAUAGGGUCGAUGGAUUGAAUUCACAAUUAAGUGAAAGCAACUUGCCACCGGCACACACAGUUGCACGGCUGGAAUUUAAAAGGAAAGAAGCCGAGACUCCUUACCUU
This 200-nucleotide unclassified non-coding RNA is filed under the name soil metagenome. Its description in RNAcentral is "partial internal transcribed spacer 2". The record is from RNAcentral.